CUCUCAUUCAUCGUUUGUCAGCCACCUUACGAAUCGUCUCUGUUUUCCGUGUUCCAUACAAGAUCUCCAUGGCUCGAUAAACAUGGAGGUAAACAUGGGUCACCGCUUGCACCUUCAAUCUUAGGACCCAGUAAGAAAGAAGGGGAAGCAGAAACUUCGACUCUAUGGAAACGCGUGGCUGUUUUGUAUGUAUAAGACGAUGAACUCGCUGGGCAGGCCUCGUGCUUGGAGGCUGUUUUCAAGCUCGAGCAUGGCGCGCGCUGAUCACGGACACCUUCCGUUUCGAGGGACGAUGCCAGAUUACUGUCCCGCUGAGCCCAACGUCGCAGGUCGUCCGAAUAUGCUUGAGGCGAACUCGCGAUUGAAAGAGCUGGUGAAGCUCGGUCAGUUGAGCAAUGCUCGCAGGAUGUUCGACAGUAUGCCUCACCGGGACGAGAUCUCGUGGACCACGAUGGUUUCCGGGUACGUCGCUGCCAGGAACGCCGGCGAGGCUCUGCGCUUGUUCUUGAAUAUGUGGGUCGCGCCGGGACUCAAAAUGGACCCUUUCAUCCUCAGUCUCGCGCUCAAGGCCUGUGGGCUCGACGUGAAUCUGAAUCUUGGCGAGUCAUUACAUGGGUAUGCUGUGAAAACGGGACUGGUGAACUCUGUUUUUGUGGGCAGUACCCUUUUGGACAUGUAUACUAAAACGGGCAGAACCGAGCUAGGUUGUUGGGUCUUCGAUGAGAUGCCACUGAGAAAUGUUGUUUCUUGGACCGCCAUCAUCACUGGACUAGUUCGUAGUGGUAAUUGUUGGGAGGGGUUGUCGUACUUCUCCAAAAUGUGGAGAUCGAAGGUGCAAUGUGAUACAUAUACGUUUGCCAUUGCGCUGAAGGCAUGUGCUGAUUUGGGUGCUUUGGACCAUGGGAGAGAGAUACACACUCACACUGUUAAGAAAGGAUUUGAUGAAACCUCAUUUGUUGCCAAUACCCUUGCGACAAUGUAUAAUAAGUGUGGAAAGUUGGAUUAUGGAUUGCGAUUGUUUGAAAGGAUGCCAACACAAGAUGUGGUUUCUUGGACCACAAUAAUUACUACAUACAUUCAGAUGGGUCAGGAGGAAUCUGCAAUCAGAUCUUUUCUCAACAUGCGAGAAUCGGAUGCUAGUCCUAAUGAAUACACAUUUGCUGCAGUUAUAUCUGGUUGUGCCAAUCUUACCAGAAUUGACUGGGGCGAACAAUUGCAUGCCCAUGUUCUAUGCAUAGGUCUUUUCAGUUUUCUGUCAGUGGCAAACUCCAUUGUGACUAUGUACUCUAAGUGUGGACAGUUGACUUUGGCUUCAAUGGUUUUUAAUGAAAUGAAAAUGAGGGAUGUGGUUUCAUGGAGCACAUUGAUUGCGGGGUAUUCAAAUGGAGGAUGUGGUGAGGAAGCUUUUGAGCUUCUAUCACUAAUGAGAAGAGAAGGACCAAAGCCAACUGAGUUUGCUCUUGCGAGCAUCCUGAGUGUGUGUGGAAGUAUGGCCAGCCUUGAUUCAGGAAAGCAGCUGCAUGCUCAUGUCCUUCUGAUUGGUUUAGAACAUACGCCUAUGAUACAAAGUGCUCUAAUUAACAUGUAUGGCAAAUGCGGGAGUGUGAAAGAAGCAUCACAAAUCUUUGAUGUGGCAACAAACAAUGAUAUUGUUUCUUGGACAGCAAUGAUAAAUGGAUAUGCCGAACAUGGAUACAGCCAUGAAGCAAUUGAUUUAUUUGAGAAGCUGCCAGCAGUGGGCUUGAGACCGGACCCUAUAACCUACAUUGGUGUUCUUACGGCCUGUAGCCAUGCCGGGCUGGUUGAUCUUGCAUUUCAUUAUUUUGAUACGAUGAAUGUGAAGCACCAGAUCAUUCCUACAAAGGAACACUAUGGCUGCAUGAUUGAUCUCCUUUGUCGUGCUGGUCGCCUAAAUGAGGCAGAGAACAUUAUUAAAACGAUGCCAUUCAAACGAGAUGAUGUUGUUUGGUCAACUUUGUUGAGAGCUUGCAGAGUCCAGGGUGACGUUGACCGUGGAAGGCACGCUGCUGAGCAAAUUCUUGAGUCAGAUCCACAUUGUGCUGGAACUCACAUUACAUUGGCUAACAUAUAUUCUGCCCAAGGGAGAUGGAGGGAAGCAGCAGAUAUAAGGAAGACGAUGAAGUCUAUGGGAGUAAUUAAGGAACCUGGAUGGUCUUGGAUCAAGGUGAAAGAUCGUGUAUCUACAUUUGUAGCUGGUGACAGGACUCAUCUAGAGUGUGAAGAAAUAUACAACACAUUGGAUUUCUUGGGUCUGGACGAAAUUGAUUUCAAUGAUAUGGAUAUUUUUCUGGAUGAUGUUGGAGAUUGAAGAAGCAAUGCUUCAUCUUUCAUAACAGCUGAAGUCAGCUCCAUUUAUGUUGACUGGCUAGAUCUUGUCAUGACACAGAUUUGUGGGGAAACCAUUGCUGGUCAUGAGUAACAACUCACAAUGACAGGGAAUAUACUAGUUGUUCCCUGUGAAAGAAUCAUUUUGGAGACUUCUCAAAGUUCGAAGCAGUUCAAGGUCAUCAAAUUAUCCACUACCAAAAGUCUUCAAAGCAUCCCUGCGGGUCUUCUGGUUUUCAGGAGGGGAUUGCUAUCUUAAAGGGGAGCCGCAACAGUGUGAGAAGAUGACGGUUCUCCCCUUUGUCGCCUACUAACUAUGCUGGAGAUUUGUCAAAUAGUAUUCUGGCAUCCACAUUGCUCAUUAGACGUCUCAUUAGUUACCAGAGUUGGCAGCAGAAAAGGCAUGACCGGAAAAAAGCUGAUGUUGCCCAGUAUUGGUCUCAGGCAACAGGUAUGUGGAAGGUGAUUUUGUAUGGUUGUCUUGUUCCUGGAAGAAUGGAUAAUUUACUGAUUGAUGUCACUUAAAACACAUAGAUCUGAUCGAAAUAGAUAUGAGAAAAAAGAAGAUGCAUUAUGCAUGGUCAUCUUCUUCCAGAAAAAUGCACGAUAUACAAUGGAUGACAUUGGUUAAGCUUCAUGGUUGCAAUCAAAUUGCAGCUCGAAAAAUCUGUUGGUUACUGCCGGUAGACAAUUUUCCUACGUGUUCCCAUGCUGGAUUAAUAAACUUGCGUUAAAGUCUCCAUACAUUUGCUUUCUGUUUGCAGCAGUAGAAAUGUGGAUGAAUUCAGCAUCUUAAAACCUUUAACCAUUGUCAAGCUCAACUGCAUUUGCUGAUUUGAGUACAAUCAUUCUUUUCUCUUCUCUGCUUUACAAUUCUCCAGCAUUUAGUAUUGAGAGGUCUUCAGAAGCAAUUUAAAGGAUGAAGCAUUUUGCAUUGCCUUUUCUCUUAGCUAUAUUUAUAUGUCAAGCUUGUUUACUUGUCCAGGUAGAAGCAGGUGAUGGUUUUGUAGGGAUCAGAGGUAUUAAUUUGAUGCUGAAUGGAACCGCUGCUUGUGCCAGCGGCUUCAAUGCCUAUUGGUUGAUGUACACAGCUUCUGACCCUUCAGACAUAUAAAUAUGCAGCUGCAUAAGUGAAGCUUCAUGCCAUGGCCUCACUGUUGCUAUAACAUGGGCUUUCACUGACGGUGGUUACAAACCUCUACAGCACUCUUCUGGUUCCUACUGGAUAGGUGUUUUCAGGUAAUUCGCCGUCAGAGUAUUUCGUGAAAAUUUUUUAUGUCUUCAAAUCACCUAAAAUAUUUCUAAGCACAAGAUACUGAUUAUCUGCUCCACUCCAUGUUCAGAAGGAUUGGGUGAAAAAUGAAAUAAUUUUAGAAAAAGAGAACUUCUGUAUCUUUUGGAACUGAAAGUUCACUCCAUUUCAGUUGAGUUCAGUAUAUGGUGAGAGUGGUAGAUAAAUAACUCUGCAAUUUACAAAAAGUUAGGAAAUCCUUCAUUUUUUUUGGUUUUUCUAGUUGAGGAAGCAGCCUCUUUGAAAAAUCAGGGUAAAGGUGCGUACGUCAACCUCUCCCCACUUCCCAAGAACCUAUGCGCCAGGGCGUGCUAAGCAGUCUUAUGAUGGCAGAGUAUUGCUUUGUUUCUGUUUGCUGAUUAUUUCACUCUUGAGCACUGGCUCGACCCGCAUUCAAGAUGCCUGGCACAUCCUCAGGAAGCCGUCAGGCCUGAGUCCUGGUCAAGUUAGUCAAUCCUGGAGUGACCUGGUUUCAGCACUCACCUGAGACAUCAGCUCUUCAACACAGUACACUACCAGGUACUUGGGCUACAAGAGGCAGAGUGGCUACAGGAAGCUCACUCUGGCAACUUUUAAUUGAUUGUCUCUACCCAAGCCAGUUAUGAAAUGAACCUGAGCCAGAGCCCUUCAAGUGCAAGUUUCAUUAUAUAUUAGCCCAAUAGCUGUAUCAGAUGUGUAAGCUUCGAGCUAGGUGAGAAAUAUUGAGGACUUGAGGAGAGCACUGGCUGCAUGUGGUAGGGGAAAGCGUGCUGGAAGCUGAAAACGCUGGGUCUAUGCAGGAAGUUACAGGGUUUCAUGUAAAUAUGAAGAGUUGACGACGGUAUAUAUCUUGGAAAGAGGUGACCCCUCUCUCUGAUUAGCUGUUUUCAACCCUUAGGGUAGCUGAAAAUAGUAUAAAUUGAUGAUGUUCAUAAGGUUCUGUUCUUGUCGACGGCUUUGAAAUCUGUAAGCUGUCUGUUGCGAAGCUGUUUGCAGUUUCAUAUUGGUUUAUUUCCGCAUAAACUGAUCUCCUUUGGAUAAAUCGGAGCUUUAUGAUGUCAAUGAGGC
This is an RNA transcript of Eucalyptus grandis, 4684 nucleotides long. It is a transcript of the gene named putative pentatricopeptide repeat-containing protein At3g47840, with no coding region annotated. The record is from RefSeq and is a predicted model, not a curated record. Lineage: Eukaryota; Viridiplantae; Streptophyta; Magnoliopsida; Myrtales; Myrtaceae. The transcript has 2 exons.